Molecule: ribosomal RNA, 275 nt
Filed under: uncultured bacterium
Lineage: Bacteria
Description: partial 16S ribosomal RNA
Rfam family: Bacterial small subunit ribosomal RNA
Source: RNAcentral
CCUACGGGCGGCUGCAGUGGGGAAUAUUGGGCAAUGGGGGAAACCCUGACCCAGCGACGCCGCGUGAGGGAAGAAGGCCUUAGGGUCGUAAACCUCUGUUGUGUGGGAAGAAGAGCGUGACGGUACCACACGAGGAAGUCCCGGCUAACUACGUGCCAGCAGCCGCGGUAAUACGUAGGGGACGAGCGUUGUCCGGAUUUACUGGGCGUAAAGGGCGCGUAGGCGGUCAUUUAAGUCAGCUGUGAAAUGGUUUGGCUUAACCGGAUCAUGCGGUU